GAUCCGGUGCUUGCAUCGGGGAUUAGUGGCGAACGGGUGAGUAACACGUGAGUAACCUGCCCUUAACUCUGGGAUAAGCCUGGGAAACUGGGUCUAAUACCGGAUAUGACUCCUCAUCGCAUGGUGGGGGGUGGAAAGCUUUAUUGUGGUUUUGGAUGGACUCGCGGCCUAUCAGCUUGUUGGUGAGGUAAUGGCUCACCAAGGCGACGACGGGUAGCCGGCCUGAGAGGGUGACCGGCCACACUGGGACUGAGACACGGCCCAGACUCCUACGGGAGGCAGCAGUGGGGAAUAUUGCACAAUGGGCGCAAGCCUGAUGCAGCGACGCCGCGUGAGGGAUGACGGCCUUCGGGUUGUAAACCUCUUUCAGUAGGGAAGAAGCGAAAGUGACGGUACCUGCAGAAGAAGCGCCGGCUAACUACGUGCCAGCAGCCGCGGUAAUACGGAGGG
RNAcentral lists this ribosomal RNA (450 nucleotides) under bacterium AET28I. RNAcentral describes it as "bacterial SSU rRNA". It matches the Rfam family "Bacterial small subunit ribosomal RNA", at positions 70 to 532 of the family's 1533-position model. The record is from RNAcentral.